GUGGUAGUGGUGUAAUUGGUAACAUAUCUGGCUUCCACCCAGAAGACUUGUGGGUUCAAACCCCACCUAUCACA
This 74-nucleotide transfer RNA is filed under the name Klebsiella pneumoniae. RNAcentral's name for it is "tRNA-Gly". It matches the Rfam family "tRNA". From Rfam's summary of the family: Transfer RNA (tRNA) molecules are approximately 80 nucleotides in length. RNAcentral also lists the same sequence under 1 other name. The record is from RNAcentral. Lineage: Bacteria; Pseudomonadati; Pseudomonadota; Gammaproteobacteria; Enterobacterales; Enterobacteriaceae.